GCCAGGCACGGUGGCGUGUGCCUGUAGUCCUAGUUACUCAGGAGUCUGAGGUGGGAGGAUCAUUUGAGCCCAGGAAGUUGAGGCUGCAGUGAGCCGAGAUUGUGCCACUGCACUCCAACCUGGGCAACAUAGUAAGACCCUGUCUCAA
Molecule: small RNA, 148 nt
Filed under: Pongo abelii (Sumatran orangutan)
Lineage: Eukaryota; Metazoa; Chordata; Mammalia; Primates; Hominidae
Description: Metazoan signal recognition particle RNA (ENSPPYG00000037424.1)
Source: Rfam by way of RNAcentral